CACGUAGGGCGCGAGCGUUGUCCGGAAUUAUUGGGCGUAAAGAGCUCGUAGGCGGCCUGUUGCGUCCGCUGUGAAAGCCCGGGGCUUAACCCCGGGUCGGCAGUGGAUACGGGCAGGCUAGAGGUAGGUUGGGGAGAAUGGAAUUCCCGGUGUAGCGGUGAAAUGCGCAGAUAUCGGGAGGAACACCGGUGGCGAAGGCGGUUCUCUGGGCCUUACCUGACGCUGAGGAGCGAAAGCGUGGGGAGCGAACAGG
This 253-nucleotide ribosomal RNA is filed under the name uncultured bacterium. RNAcentral describes it as "partial 16S ribosomal RNA". It matches the Rfam family "Bacterial small subunit ribosomal RNA", at positions 524 to 776 of the family's 1533-position model. The record is from RNAcentral.